Molecule: long non-coding RNA, 360 nt
Organism: Phodopus roborovskii (desert hamster)
Lineage: Eukaryota; Metazoa; Chordata; Mammalia; Rodentia; Cricetidae
Exons: 3
Source: RefSeq, a predicted model, not a curated record
GCCCCGCCCACAAGCCUGCCCCGCCCUCUGCUCUGCAGGACCUGCACCCUCCUGAUGUCAUUAUUGGAGCUGACACCAUUGUGGCCGUGGAUGGCGUCAUCCUGGAGAAGCCAAAGGACAAGGAUGAUGCCUACAGGAUGCUGCGCAGGCUGAGUGGCCAGCAGCACAGUGUCAUCACCAGUGUGGCCAUCUUGAGGCCACUGUGGCGGAGGCAGCUUCAGGAGCCAAGUUCCACAUGCCCAGAGGCCCCAGAGGCGGAAGGGGACCCAGAAGCAGAAGUGGAAUUGUCACUGUUCCACGAAGAGACCCGUGUGACAUUCUCGCGGCUAUCGGAGCCACUGCUCUGUGAAUACGUGGAGA